UACGUAGGGAGCAAGCGUUGUUCGGAUUUACUGGGCGUAAAGGGCGCGUAGGCGGCAAAUUAAGUCAGCUGUGAAAUCUCCGAGCUUAACUCGGAACGGUCAGCUGAUACUGAUCUGCUAGAGUGCGGAAGGGGCAAUCGGAAUUCUUGGUGUAGCGGUGAAAUGCGUAGAUAUCGGAAGGAACACCUGUGGCGAAAGCGGCGCACUGGACCACAACUGACGCUGAGGCGCGAAAGCUAGGGGAGCAAACAGG
This 253-nucleotide ribosomal RNA is filed under the name uncultured bacterium. Its description in RNAcentral is "partial 16S ribosomal RNA". It matches the Rfam family "Bacterial small subunit ribosomal RNA", at positions 524 to 776 of the family's 1533-position model. The record is from RNAcentral.